GGGGCUGAUAUUGGAAUCGACAGGAAAUGUAACUGAUUGGUAAGCAUGCCGGAGGAUCAUAUCUCACUUCGUUACCAAACGGAUAUGAAACCAUUAAUUGGCAAAUCUAACUUUGCCUUGGCUGCCUAAUUCUAGGAAUUAGAAUGCCUUUAUGCACUUCGUUUGACACCUGCUAUACAGCGAUGUUGCAUAUCAACAGUCUGCAGGUUAGCUCAAAGGAAUGUCUCGGUCCGGCGAGUGAAACUUUUCGAGUCUACGGAUCAUACUAGUUUGUCAUUGAGCAGGUAUGAUCCGGAAACCAAAAUCAAUGACUAAGCAUGUAGAAGGCUAAUGAGUACUUUCGCUGGACCCGGGUUCGACUCCCGGCAGCUCCACUA
This 377-nucleotide transfer-messenger RNA is filed under the name Saprospiraceae bacterium. It matches the Rfam family "transfer-messenger RNA". From Rfam's summary of the family: Bacterial tmRNA, also known as 10Sa RNA or SsrA, is named for its dual tRNA and mRNA-like properties. Its role is to liberate the mRNA from a stalled ribosome. Lineage: Bacteria; Pseudomonadati; Bacteroidota; Saprospiria; Saprospirales; Saprospiraceae. The record is from RNAcentral.